GUCAGCUCGUGUCGUGAGAUGUGGUUAAGUCCGCACGAGCGCAACCCUACUUGUUAGUUGCCAUCAUUCAGUUGGGCACUCUAGCGAGACUGCCGGUAAUAAACCGGAGGAAGGUGGGGAUGACGUCAAAUCAUCAUGCCCCUUAUGACCUGGGCUACACACGUGCUACAAUGGUUGGUACAACGAGUUGCGAGUCGGUGACGGCGAGCUAAUCUCUUAAAGCCAAUCUCAGUUCGGAUUGUAGGCUGCAACUCGCCUACAUGAAGUCGGAAUCGCUAGUAAUCGCGGAUCAGCACGCCGCGGUGAAUACGUUCCCGGGCCUU
Molecule: ribosomal RNA, 323 nt
Filed under: uncultured Streptococcus sp.
Lineage: Bacteria; Bacillati; Bacillota; Bacilli; Lactobacillales; Streptococcaceae
Description: bacterial SSU rRNA
Rfam family: Bacterial small subunit ribosomal RNA
Source: RNAcentral